This 255-nucleotide ribosomal RNA is filed under the name uncultured bacterium. Its description in RNAcentral is "partial 16S ribosomal RNA". It matches the Rfam family "Bacterial small subunit ribosomal RNA", at positions 524 to 776 of the family's 1533-position model. The record is from RNAcentral.
GACGAACCGUGCGAACGUUAUUCGGAAUCACUGGGCUUAAAGCGCGUGUAGGCGGGAGGGCACGUCCGUCGCUGAAAUCCCACGGCUCAACCGUGGAACGGGCGCGGAUACGACUCUUCUGGAGGAACGUAGGGGGACCUGGAACUUCCGGUGGAGCGGUGAAAUGCGUUGAGAUCGGAAGGAACGCCCGUGGCGAAAGCGAGGUCCUGGACGUUUACUGACGCUGAGACGGCGAAAGCCAGGGGAGCGAACGGG